This 28-nucleotide small RNA is filed under the name Bombyx mori (domestic silkworm). RNAcentral describes it as "ovarian small RNA-29113". The record is from RNAcentral. Lineage: Eukaryota; Metazoa; Arthropoda; Insecta; Lepidoptera; Bombycidae.
UCGUAGAAUUUGGUGCAAUUGGUGCAGA